Molecule: RNA transcript, 3299 nt
Organism: Brassica napus (rape)
Lineage: Eukaryota; Viridiplantae; Streptophyta; Magnoliopsida; Brassicales; Brassicaceae
Gene name: peptide chain release factor PrfB2, chloroplastic
Exons: 14
Source: RefSeq, a predicted model, not a curated record
CAAAGAAACCCUAGUCUUGACAAAGCAAGAAUCAAAAAUUCGAUACAGAGAGAAAUGUCAUCGUUGAUCAUCAAUAGAUCACGAAGCAGAGCUGUCCUACUCUGGAAAACCCAUGGAAUCGAAAUCGCAAGUAUUUUCUCCCACGCGUUUGCAGAUUCAGUUUCGGCUUCUGGGUUCUCCUCGGAUGCAACAAGAAGCUUCAAAACUACAUCUUCUGGAUUCGAAUCUAGAAAAAUUAGCAACUUGACUUUUUCCAGAAGCAAUUUCGUCUCCACGACUCGACCAUUGAGCUCAGAAGCUGUACCUGUUGCUUCGACUUGUGACGGACUUACGGUGGAACGAAUCAUAGCUAACCAAUGGCCGAUUUUAGACGAAAACGAGAGUGAUUGGAAGAGCCACGCUGCAGCAAUUGCACAGUCCAUUCAAGUCAUCAAGAGACGCUUGCAGUGGAAAAAACUGUUGGUGAGGCUUAGAAUGUUAUCUGUAGAGUUGAAUAAGCCUCAUCUCUGGGAUGAUCCAACUCAUGCUGGUAAGAUAAGCCGAGAGCACGGUUCGCUCACAGGGAAAAUGAAAGGCGUUAUGACGUUUGAGAGAGAGUUGCUUGAACACAUUGACAUGUUAAAACUCGCUAAAGAGGAGAAUGACUCAGAGUUAGAAUCGGAAACUAUGAGUGCAUUGACCGAAAUGAGAAGGGUUUCGAAAGAGAAAGAACUGGAGGCUUUAUUAUCUGCUGAGAAUGAUCAUUGUUCCUGCUACAUAGAGGUUCAAGCUGGAGCUGGAGGAACCGAGAGCAACGAUUGGGCAUCAAUGGUAAUGGACAUGUACAAAACAUGGGCUCAACGACGCAAAUUCUCUGUCACUGUCGUCGAUGAAAUGCCUGGGGAGAUGGCAGGAAUCAAGCGUGCGACAAUCAAACUGAAUGGUGAAUACGCCUAUGGAUAUGCAAAAGCAGAAGUUGGAGUUCAUAGGCUGGUGCGUAUAUCACCGUUUGAUAGUGGAAAACGGAGGCACACAUCAUUUGCUGCGGUUGCGGUGAUUCCGAUUUUAGGUGACGGGUCGACCCGAGUGCAGAUCAAUGACUCGGAUAUCCGGAUAGAGCGGUUCCGUUCUGGAGGAGCUGGUGGACAGCAUGCUAACACGACGGACAGUGCUGUAAGAAUCAUUCACAUACCAACUGGCAUAACAGCAACUUGUCAGAAUGAAAGGUCGCAGCAUAUGAAUAAGGCUUCAGCAAUGGCAGUGCUACAGUCACGACUAGACCAACUAGAAAUGGCUCGUCAGACAGCAAUGAAUGCGCAACAUACACAAUCACUAACCGAGAUCAGUUGGGGAAAUCAGAUUAGAACUUAUGUUCUCCAUCCAUACAGAAUGGUGAAGGAUCUGAGAACAAACUACGAAGUCUCUGAUCCUGACUCAGUUCUUGAAGGAGAUUUGGAUGGUUUCAUAUUGAGCUUCUUAUCUUCUUCUUUGGACAAAAGUGAUGAUGAACAUUAAGAUUUCUAGGGUUUGUCGUCUUCACGAGCUCUGAUUAUGUCAAACAACCAUGAUGUUCUUGAAGGAUCUCCGAGUCAGCUCUUCAUGUUGGUUCUCUGUGCCGUUCAACAUUCCCGCCGUUAUGCUUGCGCUUAAUCUCCUCAAAUCCGUUAUGCAAUGAAGUGCUUCAUCACCAUUAACGGCGUUCUUUAAUCCUUGGAUCCACGCCCACCACGAUCAAUCAUUCAUUGCUUCUUAUCUCCCUUGCAGGCUGUGGAUUUCACCUAUAAAAAGGGCAGACUUCACCUUUCGAAAAACAUCCUCCCGAUUACUAAUAUCAUAAAGAUACUCUUCUUCUUCGAUUUAAUAUCUCGGUCAUCUAUCAUGCUCGCUGAUUUGAAGGCCAGGCGUGUUGUUCUACUGUGGAGGUGCGAUUGUUGAGUUUCUGGGAAGCUAGAAACAUGAAAAGAGGUGGUGAGCUGAUAGGCCUAGACACGCUCCUCCUUGAAGCUAAGCCACCCUUAACGUCCACCGUCUUACCACUUACCGGAAUAUGUACUCCUUAGGCGGAUUUGAUGUGCCUCGCUGCAAUCAGAAUUACAGGCUCUACGACUCACCUUUUCUGAUUCAGUUUAGUGAUUCACCAACCGAGCUGGUUCUACCAAUUCUUCAGGUUCUGUAAUCACAGUGAACUACUUGGACUGGCUACUAUUUGGUUUAAAAGCUGAUGUAGAAUAAAAUUUAGGAUAAGCAGUUAACUCAUGUGUUACAGCCUUCUGUUUUUCUUUUUUUCAAUUGCAACCAAAGGUAUGGAAUUUAGAAUCUAUCGUUGUUUCAUUUGAGAUUUGAUUUAUUAUUUGCAAUUAAUUACUGUUUCAUUAGCAGGGCUACCAAAGCUAUGGAUAUCUGCAAAACUGCCAAAACCAGAAAUAUUUGUCGUCUUCCAAUAGCUCAAAGUGUGAAUCUUUACAUUGUGAAUAUAUCAAGUUCCUUGAGUUUAAACCAUCUGUGAAGUUCAGGGGCUGCAUUUCUCUUUGCAAUUUGAUCAUUGCUCCCUCGACAUCCUUGAAGAGCGAGUAAACAUUCCAAAAAUGGCUGAUACAAAAUUGAAGAGGCAUUUCUUGGACUACUAAACUACAAAGUGUACAGUUACUUGACUACUAUGUAAAUGAACUUUAUAUUGGUCACAACUGAUUUAUAUGCCAGAGACACCAAAGUGAGAAAUUGCGCUAAGGUUCUUAAGACUCGAUCUAAGAACUUCUACAUGUUCACAAGCAUAGGGUCUGGUUGCUGAGAUUUACUAUAAGCCAAUCUCGGAUGCAACAUAAAUUCGAUUAAGCAACUGAGUUUAUUGAAAGCUAAGGAGAUAUUAUUGAAGAAACAAAGGAAAGAUGAAAAGCCAAAAGUGAAACCUCUGAAUAUGAUCACUGAAAUGGAAUGUAAAUCAAGUGACAGUGAUUGUGACAUAAAUAAGUUGCUGGCAUGAGCUCUUUUGGAAAUGAGGCUAAACUGAUUCUUGAGCCGCAACAGCCAGAAUCUGGAGAAGCAACCAUUCCUACAAUCCAAGCGACUGAUUCCUAUAAAAGCUCGAAGAUGAAAAUUCUCCCAACAACACCGGUGAAAACAUAGAAGCUAGCUGUGCCGCAAUCAGCUGCGACAUUGACAUCUUUUCUCUCAGUUGUUAAUUAUAGACGUCUUAAAGUAAACCAUGUUUUAAAAGGUCCUAAUUAUUUUUGAUGAUAUGGUUUAUUUGAUAAUUUAAAAAAUAUGUAAAUCUUUAAACAGUAAUGUGUUAUGUUUCAAGUUGAUUAAGAGUGAUAGGUACA